Molecule: ribosomal RNA, 429 nt
Filed under: uncultured archaeon
Lineage: Archaea
Description: bacterial SSU rRNA
Rfam family: Archaeal small subunit ribosomal RNA
Source: RNAcentral
UACCAGCCCCUCGAGUGGUGGGGAUGAUUAUUUGGCCUAAAGCGUCCGUAGCCGGCCGGGAAAGUCUCCCGUUAAAUCCAACGUCUCAAGCGUUGGACUGCGGGAGAUACUGCCUGGCUAGAGAGUGGGAGAGGUCAGCGGUAUUCUGGGGGUAGGGGCGAAAUCCUUUGAUCCCCGGAGGACCACCAGUGGCGAAGGCUGCUGACUAGAACACGUCUGACGGUCAGGGACGAAAGCUGGGGUAGCGAACCGGAUUAGAUACCCGGGUAGUCCCAGCCGUAAACGAUGCAUGCUAGGUGUUGGGUUGGCCACGAGCCACCCCAGUGCCGCAGGGAAGCCGUUAAGCAUGCCGCCUGGGAAGUACGAUCGCAAGAUUAGAAACUUAAAGGAAUUGGCGGGGAGCACCACCAGGCGUGAAGCCUGCGGUUU